CGCUGGCGGCAUGCCUAACACAUGCAAGUCGAACGAAGCCUUCGGGCUUAGUGGCGCACGGGUGCGUUAACACGUCGGGAAUCUGCCCUUCGGUUCGGAAUAACAGUUAGAAAUGACUGCUAAUACCGGAUGAUGACGUAAGUCCAAAGAUUUAUCGCCGAAGGAUGAGCCCGCGUAGGAUUAGGUAGUUGGUAGGGUAAUGGCCUACCAAGCCGACGAUCCUUAGCUGGUCUGAGAGGAUGAUCAGCCACACUGGGACUGAGACACGGCCCAGACUCCUACGGGAGGCAGCAGUGGGAAUAUUGGACAAUGGGCGAAAGCCUGAUCCAGCAAUGCCGCGUGAGUGAUGAAGGCCUUAGGGUUGUAAAGCUCUUUUACCAGGGAUGAUAAUGACAGUACCUGGAGAAUAAGCUCCGGCUAACUCCGUG
RNAcentral lists this ribosomal RNA (428 nucleotides) under uncultured bacterium. Its description in RNAcentral is "bacterial SSU rRNA". It matches the Rfam family "Bacterial small subunit ribosomal RNA", at positions 34 to 507 of the family's 1533-position model. The record is from RNAcentral.